GGGAGCUGCACCAUCCACGGAGCGCCAGUUCGCAUUGAGGCUGCGGCCAGUGUGGUUGCCGUGGUGUACGUGCUUGUUUUGUGCUCGUGGUAACCAUGUUCUCACGCUGAGUCAUGUGUGCGAGUGGUAACAGAGAAGUGACAAACCACGUAUGUUAUGUGACACGCUUCAGUCAGCAGCUGUCGCCUCGAUAUAUCGAACGCCGAUUGUAAAGAAAACAUUCAGGACUGAUUCAUGGCGCUGUUUUAUUACACUCUGUGUGGUGAAGUUAUUUUAAAUUAAUCCUUGGCGAUAUCAUGCGAUACUGGCUUUUACGGUCAUAUGAGUUACAUAUCCUAAUACAGUUUAACAAAAUACUUGUCUAAUUAAUAACGACAUGUACAUUAAUUUUCAUGCUUUUGAGUCGUUAUAAAUUCUUGUGAAUACGCAACGGGUAUGCCUUGUUUCUGUACUCGUUCAUUUCUGGUGUUGGGAGAUGGCGGAUUCUUGGUAAUUGUGGUGAAUUAAAAUAUUGAAGAUAACUGAAGGUAAGCCGGUUUUGGAGAAAAUUGUCAAUUCCAUAAGUUCGCAGGGCGUGUUACAAGAUAUUUACGUUGACCAGAAAGUGGAAGUAAUAAUUAUUAAAUUAGAGGCAACACUCGAAUAUUUUUAGAUUGAAGACAUUUUACUGAUCCGUAGGUUUACAAGCUAACUAGAAUGCGUGUGCAUUAAUCAUGAUGUCAGGUUACUGCAACAGAAGUUAUAAAACUGUGACCAUUUAAUAGACUAUAAAUUCUAUGUAGUAUUUGCACCAGAACUUUCUUACGUGCUUCGGCGGAUAGGUUCACACGUGUGAGCAUACAUACGUCCCCAAGCACCGUCUGAGACUGAAAACGACACGGUUUCGGAAGAAAAUUGUCAAUUUGUAUUUUGUUUUUGAAAAUUCGAAACUUAAACCAUGCUUCUAAUUAGUUCUUGAAAUCCAUUAAGCGAGAGAGAAUAAGAAAUCAGAAAUCUGAUUUUUAAAUAUUACAUAAUUAUUCGAUUAAUUCGGGGUUUUUUUUUUUUAAAUGUUGCAAGUCAUUAGACGAAAAGAAACUGCGGGUGUGGUUACAGGAAAGGAGUAGGGUGAGAAUUCUACCCCACACCGAACUUCAUACACGUUUUCUUAUUGUCAUAUUUUCUUCUUCUCUUCUGUAUUGCAACAGGUAAAAUACCAUAGACUUUGCCAUACUUUUACCAAAAAGGGGAGGGGGCUUCCAAAAAUGUUAGGCACAUAAGCUUCUUGUUCUUAAAUAAUUAUAAGUUCGUGUGAAUAUGUAUCGGACAUUCAGCAUCUGUUUGUAUCAGAACAAGUUAGUUAGACUAGUACUGCUUAUAUUAACUUUACCCAUGAUAAAGAUGUAUUUGUAACGUCUACAGAAAAUGUGUCCAGUUUCUUUUCCAUGGUUAAUAAUUGUAUUAACGACAUAUUACUUGCUUAAUUAGGAAGACGUUUAACUGUAAUAGGACAGAUGUGAAAUAACAUUUUUUCUUUCAACAAGAAAAACAAACUUAAACUAAUUUUUAAAAAUUACGCGUGUUUUCCUGUCGCGUGGGAUUUAAAAUGUUACUGUUUUGCCUGUGUUUUUCGCUUGAGCAACGUGUGUUUAUUUUAUUACGUUGCAAGGGGAAUAACCUGAACGUCAGAAACGUCAAAACAUUAUUUCGUUUUUGAUUGCUGUCUACAACAACGUGAAAUUGAAAUAAAAAAAAACACGAGCGAGCUGAAUGAACCAAAAAAGAGAAAAAAAAACGAAAUGGCAUUUUAAAUUAACGUGAAUAGGUCUACAUAUCUCAACGGGCCAGUGAAAAACAUUUCGUCUCACAUGACUGAAGACCUGUAUGUAUAUUUUUAUGCACCAUUUAAGUUUCGAGAUCUAUUCUAGUCGAUGAUGACAUGUCCAUCGAGAGAUAACAGUGCUUCUCGUUAAAUUACAACAAAACAGACUGGUGGUGAAAUGUUUAUGUAAUGAACAGCAAUAAACAUUAACAUUUAAACAUGUCUCAUCACCGUUUAACCUGGUUUCUUCAUCAGCCAAGAUGUUCAGGUCUAUGUUUGUUCGUCACAGUAUAUCUAAGUUUGUUUGUGAUUGCUGGGGUGCUACUGUUUGGAUCCCUGUCUCAAAUUCGUAACAAUAAUGCCCCCUCAGGAAGCAAGAAGAGAGCGUAUGUGAGUGACGAAGACGGUGAGAGGUCAGCUUCGUAUGGAGCCAGGUACUACAACAGUCGUUCACGUGACGAUGACUACGACUGGAAGAAUUUGUUGUACUCCAACAGAAGCCAGUAUCAUUACGAGAAAUAUCACGAAGAAGGUGCUGAGGAAGUGGAUAUCCAUGAUAAGUUAACAGCCACAUGGACAGGACAGGGUCUCCGCUGGCCUUACAGCAAUCCAGCACUCAUCAAUUGCUCAUCUCUGCAGGAUGUGACUGAUUUGGAUUUUGUCGCUUCCGGUUGGACAAAGGCAGUAUAUAAGGGAAGGUACCAGGGUCGAGAUGUUGCAGUGAAGACAGUGAACCUCAACGGUCAUGAUAUCCUCAAGUGUCAAGAAAAGCACAAACCCAUGAGCCCAGCUGCGUCACUUCCGCUCUGCUACAGGAGAGCCGCUGCUAAAAUACUGAGAGAGAUUAUCUUACUGACAGAGCUCGCCCACGACAACAUUGUCAAGGUGUUGGGGUUCUGUGUUCCUGAUGCAGUAGGUCCAGUCUCCAUGGUAACAGAACUUGGAGAUCCUCUUGACACUUUGCGUUUGCUUCAGUUCUCAUGGGAGGACAGACUGAGGCUUGCACUAGGAAUUGCCCAGAUUCUUCAUCAGUUGGCUCAUUCUCCACUUGGAUCGCUCUCCAUGAAUGAUUUCCGUCGCCAACAAUUUGUCCUUGUUGGUGGGACUUUGAAAUUAUCGGAUGUUGAUGACUUGGGAAUUAAUGAACCAGAAUGUGUGACAGAUUCAGACUGUGUUAUUGGCAAUGAUGAAAACAACAAUGUAAGCGAUGAUAAUACCACAAAAGGGUUGUCAUGUAUCGAUUCGCGGUGCAUUGGCCAUAAUGAACGCCUCAACAUCUGGCACGCAGGCCAACACUUCAUCCGACUCUUCCUUCCUCUGAGUGCACCAUUGUCACUUGAGCCCCACAUCCAUGAACUUCUGGCAGCAUAUGCCCAUCCUGCUGCAGGUGGCUGGAACUCAGCCCGCAUUCUAGGCACAACCCAAAAACUAGUGGCUCACUUUGUAUCUGGAGAUUACAUGAUUCGACCCAGCACUCAGGGUAGCAGCACUAGUGGAUAUGAGCGGAUGAGUGACAGUGAUUUACCUGGGCUGUAUGACUAUCGAUGUCCACUGUCUGUGUCUGCUGUUGGUUGUGUCAUCUCUGUUUUCAACGAGGAGGAGGCUGUUCAGAUCUGUACCAGUGACGAUGAUUGUCAAGCAAUAGUGUUAGGGCAAGAGCAUACUUGGACAGGACGCACUCUGGCAGUCUUCAAAAAUGGUUACAGUACACCAUCCUUCAAGAAAGGUUACAGCUUGCUAGUGAAAAAGAAACUAAAAUAGCCCCAGGGAAGAAAGAGAUAAUGUGAUUAAACUUGAAGACUGAUGAAACCACUAGUACAAGUAAGAGAGAGGAGCCUGUGUGGUCUUACUGAUGGCUACUAGUGUUUCAGAGUAACCUGUUCUCCACCUCACAGGUAAAAACUAGCAGAGGUGGGAUGUGGCUGGACACCAAAAUUCUCGUUCAUCUGGCCAGUGAGAUUCAGGUUAUCCAUUCCAUUUGGACAAAAAGUCAUUGCAAGGCAGACUGGUGAUUAUUUGUAAAUUUGUUUCAAGCUCUAGCAAGUUCCCUAGCCAUAGUUACAAAAAAAAUUGUAACUUGGUGAUAGGGAUCAUUCUUCAUUAGGCUGUCAUACUUUUGUCAUUCAUAACUCAGCAGCAUUUUGUAAGUCCCUUGUCAUACAGCCCUUUAAGGUGUCUACAUUCAUCUCUCUACGUUACUCUAAAUUAACCAGUUAAAUGUGUAUAUGAGCUGAAAUAUUACAACUAAGUUAUUUUCACCUUAAUGGAAAUACUCGUUCACAUUCAGAUCAAUUAAAUUUAUUGAUGUGGAUUAAGAAGCUGACCAUGCACUGACAUCAUAAAAAUAAUAAUUUGACUUAUCGACAUUCACUGGAGGGGGCCAGUGGUAGUGUAAUUGAUUGAAGCACUAUGCUACAAGUUGGAAGAUCGUGGUUCAAUUCCCAAUGAGGUAAUUGCAUUUUUUAAUUGACCUAAUCCUUCCAGCCCAGCACAGGAUAGGGACCAGUGGUGGGCUGUUGUGAACAUGAUAAUUAACUUUUGGGUUCCUUAAAAGAAAUGGAAUUUCUUGACUAGUUGAGUGACUAUUCACUUCUCAAGAACUAUGUUCCACAGACUUAAUUAGUUUGUGUCAACUGUGAAGGUUAUGUAACACGAGUUCAACCUCUGUUGUUGAAAUAUGUCAUCCCUGUUCAUGUGCCCAGGAUCUUGUUUUUGUCACUAAAAUAAUGGAAAAAUUAAUAUAUUAUUUUAUUAGAAGUUCUAAUCAAGGUUUUUCAAGAAGGUUGAGUAAUGUAUUGAAUUUUGGUACAUAGCAAGGAGCUCUUUGCUCUGUUGAACCCUUAAAAAUAUUCUUACUAUUUUUCUUUAAUUACAGUCUCUGAAUGUCAGGUCUGGAAACUUUUGCAGCAACUAAUAGAUUAUAAUAUAUUUGUAAUGAAGCUGCACUGAUCAAAGAAUAUUUAAAAUUGAUAAUAUUGAUGAUGAGGAGUAAUGGAGAUACUGUAAAAAAAUGCAGGCAAAAGCUGAGAAAUAUAAGAAAACCUCUAAUCAGGUUUAUUUACAAGUUUCACAUGAACUGGUUAGACUUAAAUCUAUAUUUGUUUGGUGGGAGGUCAUUGAUCUCAUGUCCUGUGAUGACUCUGUAGUUAAUUUACUAUUCGUAAGGUUUGAUAUGGUAAAGUCAGCAUUAUCAGUUGACUUAAUCUUUUUAUAGCUGAAGAUUUAUCUUUUUCUUAAUGCAAAUAUUAAUGCUAGUCAUUCAGUCAUAGUGAAACAAAUGGAAAUUUGUUUAAAAACAAUAUUAUGUGAUAUGAAAUAUAUGUAUUAUUUGUACUGGUUAACAAAAUUGUGUAUAUAAAUGCUUUUCCCACGUACUUAAUGUUGCAUCAUUCAGCGUGUUGUUUCAACUGUGAACUGCACACACACACACACACACACACACUAAAAGAAUUUUAAUAUUGAAACAUUUCCAGCUUAAAACUUGCCCAUUGUGUUUUAUAGGUCUCUAGCUCUUUAUGUUAUUCUCUGAUUAUCAUGAUUGUAAAGAUGGAUGUAACCAAAUCAGUGUUUCAUUAGAGUCUAUGUGAAUAUUUUGUAUUCAACCAGGAUAAGUUUUUGCUAGUGUAAUUCCCAUUAAUGAUUCAACAUGAAAACUUUCUAUAUAAGUUACAUAAACUCUCAAGGUUCUAUGUCCUUUCCUUCCUUCUCUGAUGUUCCUGUCUAGUCUCUUCUAUUUGUACAUCCCAUUGCCAUUUCUCUCCCCCUACCACCCUUCUUCUCCUUUGUGUUAAAACAGAUUAGGUAAAUGCCAUUCAAAACAUGCCUUGAUGCAUUGCUCACUUUGAUUCAGUGUAUUUUUUAUACAAAUUGAAAUAUAGUACAUGUGUUUGAUCA
Cryptotermes secundus is the source of this 5695-nucleotide RNA transcript. It is a transcript of the gene named extracellular tyrosine-protein kinase PKDCC, with no coding region annotated. Lineage: Eukaryota; Metazoa; Arthropoda; Insecta; Blattodea; Kalotermitidae. The record is from RefSeq and is a predicted model, not a curated record. The transcript has 7 exons.